GACGAAGGGGGCUAGCGUUGUUCGGAAUUACUGGGCGUAAAGCGAGUGUAGGUGGUUGUCCAAGUUGGAUGUGAAAGCCUUGAGCUCAACUCAAGAAAUGCAUUCAGGACUGGGCGGCUAGAGGACCGGAGAGGAUAGUGGAAUUCCCAGUGUAGUGGUGAAAUACGUAGAGAUUGGGAAGAACACCAGUGGCGAAGGCGGCUAUCUGGACGGUUUCUGACACUAAGACUCGAAAGCGUGGGGAGCGAACCGG
RNAcentral lists this ribosomal RNA (253 nucleotides) under uncultured bacterium. Its description in RNAcentral is "partial 16S ribosomal RNA". It matches the Rfam family "Bacterial small subunit ribosomal RNA", at positions 524 to 776 of the family's 1533-position model. The record is from RNAcentral.